This 253-nucleotide ribosomal RNA is filed under the name uncultured bacterium. Its description in RNAcentral is "partial 16S ribosomal RNA". It matches the Rfam family "Bacterial small subunit ribosomal RNA", at positions 524 to 776 of the family's 1533-position model. The record is from RNAcentral.
UACGAAGGGGGCUAGCGUUGUUCGGAAUUACUGGGCGUAAAGCGUGCGCAGGCGGCUUCUCAAGUCAGGGGUGAAAGCCCAGAGCUCAACUCUGGAAUUGCCUUUGAGACUGAGUGGCUUGAGUACGAGAGAGGUGAGUGGAAUUCCGCGUGUAGCAGUGAAAUGCGUAGAGAUGCGGAGGAACACCGAUGGCGAAGGCAGCCCCCUGGGUCGACACUGACGCUCAGGCACGAAAGCGUGGGGAGCAAACAGG